This is a long non-coding RNA of Oreochromis niloticus (Nile tilapia), 1525 nucleotides long. RefSeq lists it as uncharacterized. The record is from RefSeq and is a predicted model, not a curated record. The transcript is spliced from 3 exons. NCBI's taxonomy places the organism in Eukaryota, Metazoa, Chordata, Actinopteri, Cichliformes, Cichlidae.
UCUAACUCAUCAACUUUAAGGAGAAAAUGAUUUCUCACUCCCUAAUAUAUCCCACCCGCUAACAGGUGCCAUGAUGAAGAGAUAAUCAGUGUUAUUCACUUCACCUGUCAGCCACAUAAUGUUAUGCCUGGUUGGUGUAUAACUAUUUGUGUCACUUGUACCGACACAUAGACAAUCAGGUACAUUAUGUUUGUCUGUAACUCUAACUUGGAUGAACAUCAGACCAGAUUAUCAGUACCCAUGAAAAUACCAUGUGGAUACAGUGCAGCCUAUCACAAGAGGGAGACAGUUGCCGUGCUUGUGGAGUCACUGGAGGAGCUGUCCAUUUCAGCACCACGAUGAGGCAGCAGAAGCCACAGAUGUUCCUAUUGAAACGUUCCAUAUUUAGAGAAAAGGCUAGAAGGUGGAGGUCACAUCACAGCAGCACUUCUGCAGUAACUGGAGGCUUUUGGUUCUGCAAGGACACGGACUUGGAUUAAAAACAAUAAAAACACACAAAUAUACGCUGCCUGAUGAAAUAGAGCCACUGUGAUGCGACUCAACCACGGGUGUCAAACAUGAGGUCCGGGGACCAGAAUUAGCAUGGCAAAGACUUCAAUGGACGCCCACUGGAUGGCUUUAGAAAACGUGAAGGAGAGCAUGCAUUUUUUCAAUUUAUUUUAACACAUUUUUACAAUAUGGCUGAAAAAAAGAAAAAAAAAGAACAGUAACAAUUUUUUUUUAAAGGACAUUUUCUGUGAAUUAACAGAAAGCUGUAUCUGACCCCGAGUGUAUGCUAAAAAAACACACUGCUACAGACUGCUUUUGUAAUUCAUUGUCAUUUGUUACUUUAACAGUGUCCUUGCUAUCAGUGAAGUCAAAGACUUUACAUAUUUGGGGGAUUUCAGCCAAAACGGAAAGAAAUCUUACUUCAGUAAUAAGUUAUUUCAAACUGACAUCACUCUGCCGGCGUGACAUGGACAUGCAUGCAGAAGUUGCAGUAACAGCAUGAGAUAUUUUAUUUAAAACCAACAUGAAAAUAAUCACGCGGAAAGAUUUAAACAGACACGAUGAACACGUAAUUACAUAUAAAUACAUAUUAGCCACCUAGCUUAAUCGUUUAUAGCGAUUAAGGAUCCUGGGAUGUACUUUGUCUGUUUUUUUGCUCACAACCGAACUCUUAGCUUUAAAUAUCUCCCCCUGCUGGUAACUUGGCUUCUACAUGCGUGUCUAGUUCACGCUUUAUUUUUUGGUAUCUGGGAAGAAACUGUCUGCUUCUCCAGAUUGCGCAUUAUUAUUAUUAUUAUUAUUAAUAUUAUUGUUAUUAUUAUUAUCAUUAUUAUUAUUAUUAUUAUUAUUAUUAUGAUUAUUAUUAUUAUGUUGCUUCAUUAAAUUUACAACUUACAACUCAAAUAUGUUUCAUUAUUACCACACCUGACUAUAUCUACUUUUUAAAAUCUACUUUUUAUCGUUUUAGCCUACACCAGCUAAUUUUUCUGACCUUUGUUUUAAACUCAUGCUCCUUAGCACACUUUCAGUGUCAUGU